RNAcentral lists this ribosomal RNA (253 nucleotides) under uncultured bacterium. RNAcentral describes it as "partial 16S ribosomal RNA". It matches the Rfam family "Bacterial small subunit ribosomal RNA", at positions 524 to 776 of the family's 1533-position model. The record is from RNAcentral.
CACGUAGGGGGCAAGCGUUGUCCGGAUUUAUUGGGCGUAAAGGGUAGGUAGGUGGUCUCAUUUGUCUGGGGUGAAAGCCUUGAGCUUAACUCAAGAAGUGCCCUAGAAACGGUGAGACUGGAGUCCUGGAGAGGGUCGUGGAAUUCCCGGUGUAGCGGUGAAAUGCGUAGAGAUCGGGAGGAACACCAGCGGCGAAGGCGGCGACCUGGACAGGUACUGACACUCAACUACGAAAGCGUGGGGAGCAAACAGG